GAUGAAGAACGUAGCGAAAUGCGAUAAGUAAUGUGAAUUGCAGAAUUCAGUGAAUCAUCGAAUCUUUGAACGCACAUUGCGCCCGCUAGUAUUCUGGCGGGCAUGCCUGUCCGAGCGUCAUUUCAACCCUCAAGCCCCCGGGCUUGGUGUUGGGGAUCGGCGAGCCUCCGCGCCCGCCGUCCCCUAAAUCUAGUGGCGGUCUCGCUGUAGCUUCCUCUGCGUAGUAGCACACCUCGCACUGGGAAACAGCGCGGCCACGCCGUUAAACCCCCAACUUCUGAACGUUUGACCUCGGAUCAGGUAGGAAUACCCGCUGAACGUAAGCAUAUCAAUAAGCGGAGGA
Molecule: unclassified non-coding RNA, 343 nt
Filed under: soil metagenome
Description: partial contains 5.8S ribosomal RNA, internal transcribed spacer 2, and large subunit ribosomal RNA
Rfam family: 5.8S ribosomal RNA (bases 1-120)
Source: RNAcentral